Molecule: non-coding RNA, 545 nt
Organism: Grammomys surdaster
Lineage: Eukaryota; Metazoa; Chordata; Mammalia; Rodentia; Muridae
Source: the annotation of a RefSeq genome assembly
CCCAGCCCUGGAUUCCCCUGUCCUCACAUUCAUUGACCAGUAGUAAACACCGAGCACUUGCCAUGGACCUCAGGCUCAGCUUGGUUUUCCUUAUCCUUAUUUCAACAGGGGUAGAGUGUGAGGUGAAGCUGGUGGAGUCUGGGGGAGGCUUAGUACAGCCUGGAAGUUCUCUGAAGCUCUCAUGUGCAGCGUCUGGAUUCACUUUCGAUGACUAUGCAAUGGCAUGGGUCCGCCAGAUUCCAAAGAAGGGGCUGGAGUGGAUGGCAAGCAUUAGUUGGAGUGGUGGUAGCACCUACUAUCCAGACACGAUGAAGGGCCGAUUCACCAUCUCCAGAGACAAUGCAAAAAAUGCCCUAUACCUGCAAAUGAGCAGUCUGAGGUCUGAGGACACAGCCAUAUAUUACUGUGCAAGACACACAGUGGGUGAAUAUUACUGUGAGCUCAAACAUAAACCUCCUGCAGAGCACUUGAGACCAGCAGAGGGCACAGAGAGCACACAAAAACUCCUAGUUACUGACAGUUAUAGCCUAUGUAGAAAGAGUUAG